GUCAGGAUGAUUAUUGGGCCUAAAGCAUCCGUAGCUCGUUUUGUAAGUUUUCGGUUAAAUCCAUGCGCUCAACGUAUGGGCUGCCGGGAAUACUGCAUAACUAGGAAGUGGGAGAGGUAGACGGUACUCGGUAGGAAGGGGUAAAAUCCUUUGAUCUAUUGAUGACCACCUGUGGCGAAGGCGGUCUACCAGAACACGUUCGACGGUGAGGGAUGAAAGCUGGGGGAGCAAACCGGAUUAGAUACCCGGGUAGUCCCAGCUGUAAACUAUGCAAACUCAGUGAUGCAUUGGCUUGUGGCCAAUGCAGUGCUGCAGGGAAGCCGUUAAGUUUGCCGCCUGGGAAGUACGUACGCAAGUAUGAAACUUAAAGGAAUUGGCGGGGGAGCACCACAAGGGGUGAAGCCUGCGGUUCAAUUGGAGUCAACGCCAGAAAUCUUACCCGGAGAGACAGCAGAAUGAAGGUCAAGCUGAAGACUUUACCAGACAAGCUGAGAGGUGGUGCAUGGCCGUCGCCAGCUCGUGCCGUGAGAUGUCCUGUUAAGUCAGGUAACGAGCGAGAUCCCUGCCUCUAGUUGCCACCAUUACUCUCAGGAGUAGUGGGGCGAAUUAGCGGGACCGCCGCAGUUAAUGCGGAGGAAGGAAGGGGCCACGGCAGGUCAGUAUGCCCCGAAACUCUGGGGCCACACGCGGGCUGCAAUGGUAGUGACAAUUGGUUCCGAAUCCGAAAGGAGGAGGUAAUCCUCAAACGCUACCACAGUUAUGACUGAGGGCUGCAACUCGCCCUCACGAAUAUGGAAUCCCUAGUAACUGCGUGUCAUUAUCGCGCGGUGAAUACGUCCCUGCUCCUUGCACACACCGCCCGUCGUUUCAUUGAAGUUUGCUUUUAGCGAGGUGACGUCUGAUUGGCGUUAUCGAACUUGAGGUAAGUGACAAGGGAAAAGUCGUAACAAGGUAACCAAGGGCGAAUUCCACAGUGGAUAUCAAGCUUAUCGAUACCGUCGA
This 1002-nucleotide ribosomal RNA is filed under the name uncultured Nitrososphaerota archaeon. RNAcentral's name for it is "bacterial SSU rRNA". It matches the Rfam family "Archaeal small subunit ribosomal RNA", at positions 491 to 1478 of the family's 1478-position model. Lineage: Archaea; Thermoproteati; Nitrososphaerota. The record is from RNAcentral.